CUGGCUCAGGAUGAACGCUGGCGGCGUGCCUAACACAUGCAAGUCGAACGGAGAAUUUACGCUGACGAGACUUCGGUCAAAUCUUGUAAAUUCUUAGUGGCGGACGGGUGAGUAACGCGUGGGCAACCUGCCUCAUACUGGGGGAUAGCAGUUGGAAACGACUGAUAAUACCGCAUAAGCGCACAGCAUCGCAUGAUGCAGUGUGAAAAACUCCGGUGGUAUGAGAUGGGCCCGCGUCAGAUUAGCCAGUUGGCAGGGUAACGGCCUACCAA
This 272-nucleotide ribosomal RNA is filed under the name Butyrivibrio sp. INlla21. RNAcentral describes it as "16S rRNA. Bacterial SSU". It matches the Rfam family "Bacterial small subunit ribosomal RNA", at positions 19 to 271 of the family's 1533-position model. Lineage: Bacteria; Bacillati; Bacillota; Clostridia; Lachnospirales; Lachnospiraceae. The record is from RNAcentral.